This 314-nucleotide signal recognition particle RNA is filed under the name Candidatus Bathyarchaeota archaeon. RNAcentral describes it as "signal recognition particle sRNA". It matches the Rfam family "Archaeal signal recognition particle RNA". The record is from RNAcentral. Lineage: Archaea; Thermoproteati; Candidatus Bathyarchaeota.
CGGCGGGUCUAGGCGGGGGGCUAGGGGUCCCUUGCACCGUAAACCCUCUACAUGACGGGCUGAAUGCCUUGGCGAGGCGCCAAAGAUCGUCAGGCAUCCCCAGUCCUCUAACCGUGAAUAUCCGUCCCUUUAGGCUGGCGGGCAUGGAGCAACCUCCGUAGGGAGGCUGUUGACUGCGCUUACCAGGCGAACCUGGCCAGGCCCGGGAGGGAGCAACCUAAGUUUGGACGUUCAGCGCUUAGGGGAUCGCGGAUACGAGUUCAGGGAUUGGGGAAACUGGCGUCAACUGGGCGACGAUCCAGGGCGACCCGCUA